GUGGGGAAUAUUGGACAAUGGGCGAAAGCCUGAUCCAGCCAUGCCGCGUGUGUGAAGAAGGUCUUCGGAUUGUAAAGCACUUUAAGUUGGGAGGAAGGGUAGUAACCUAAUACGUUGCUACUUUGACGUUACCGACAGAAUAAGCACCGGCUAACUUCGUGCCAGCAGCCGCGGUAAUACGAAGGGUGCAAGCGUUAAUCGGAAUUACUGGGCGUAAAGCGCGCGUAGGUGGUUCAGUAAGUUGGAAGUGAAAUCCCCGGGCUCAACCUGGGAACUGCUUUCAAAACUGCUAAGCUAUAGUACGGUAGAGGGUGGUGGAAUUUCCUGUGUAGCGGUGAAAUGCGUAGAUAUAGGAAGGAACACCAGUGGCGAAGGCGACCACCUGGACUGAUACUGACACUGAGGUGCGAAAGCGUGGGGAGCAAACAGGAUUAGAAACCCGAGUAGGUCC
This 451-nucleotide ribosomal RNA is filed under the name uncultured bacterium. RNAcentral describes it as "partial 16S ribosomal RNA". It matches the Rfam family "Bacterial small subunit ribosomal RNA", at positions 354 to 796 of the family's 1533-position model. The record is from RNAcentral.